RNAcentral lists this ribosomal RNA (856 nucleotides) under uncultured bacterium. RNAcentral describes it as "bacterial SSU rRNA". It matches the Rfam family "Bacterial small subunit ribosomal RNA", at positions 8 to 853 of the family's 1533-position model. The record is from RNAcentral.
AGAGUUUGAUCAUGGCUCAGAUUGAACGCUGGCGGCAGGCUUAACACAUGCAAGUCGAACGGUAACAGGAAGAAAGCUUGCUUUCUUUGCUGACGAGUGGCGGACGGGUGAGUAAUGCUUGGGAAUCUGGCUUAUGGAGGGGGAUAACUACGGGAAACUGUAGCUAAUACCGCGUAGUAUCGGAAGAUGAAAGUGUGGGACCGCAAGGCCACAUGCCAUGAGAUGAGCCCAAGUGGGAUUAGGUAGUUGGUUAGGUAAAGGCUGACCAAGCCGACGAUCUCUAGCUGGUCUGAGAGGAUGACCAGCCACACUGGAACUGAGACACGGUCCAGACUCCUACGGGAGGCAGCAGUGGGGAAUAUUGCACAAUGGGGGGAACCCUGAUGCAGCCAUGCCGCGUGAAUGAAGAAGGCCUUCGGGUUGUAAAGUUCUUUCGGUGAUGAGGAAGGUGUUUGUUUUAAUAGAACAAACAAUUGACGUUAGUCACAGAAGAAGCACCGGCUAACUCCGUGCCAGCAGCCGCGGUAAUACGGAGGGUGCGAGCGUUAAUCGGAAUAACUGGGCGUAAAGGGCACGCAGGCGGUGACUUAAGUGAGAUGUGAAAGCCCCGAGCUUAACUUGGGAAUUGCAUUUCAUACUGGGUCGCUAGAGUACUUUAGGGAGGGGUAGAAUUCCACGUGUAGCGGUGAAAUGCGUAGAGAUGUGGAGGAAUACCGAAGGCGAAGGCAGCCCCUUGGGAAUGUACUGACGCUCAUGUGCGAAAGCGUGGGGAGCAAACAGGAUUAGAUACCCUGGUAGUCCACGCUGUAAACGCUGUCGAUUUGGGGAUUGGGCUUUGAGCUUGGUGCCCGUAGCU